This 248-nucleotide long non-coding RNA is filed under the name Mustela putorius furo (domestic ferret). RNAcentral describes it as "lncRNA (ENSMPUG00000025793.1)". Lineage: Eukaryota; Metazoa; Chordata; Mammalia; Carnivora; Mustelidae. The record is from RNAcentral.
GGAUGAAGGGGCAGACUCAGUGGAGAUGCAGAGGGUUCCAAGAUACAUGGUGUGGGAGUGAAGAGAUGGCGAUCACAAGUAGGCAGAGAAACAGGCAAAGAGAGAGGAAGAAGUAGGCUCCCUGCUGAGCAGAGAGCCUGAUGUGGGGCUCCAUCCCAGGACCCUGGGAUCAUGACCUGAGCCGAAGGCAGAGGCUUUAACCCACUGAGCCGCCCAGGCGCCCCUAGAGUACAUUUAUUGAAAUAAAA